Long non-coding RNA from Capsicum annuum, 613 nucleotides. RefSeq lists it as uncharacterized. The transcript has 2 exons. NCBI's taxonomy places the organism in Eukaryota, Viridiplantae, Streptophyta, Magnoliopsida, Solanales, Solanaceae. The record is from RefSeq and is a predicted model, not a curated record.
CCAAAAUUCUCAACUUCAAUAAAAUUAUAUUCAUAUUACUACUACUAUUUCUUCUUCUUCUUCUUUACUCCAAAGUGAAAUAUUAGGGGAAAAUCAAGAUUUUGUUGAGGAGAGUGAUGUCUGGUUCGAAAUCAUUUUAUAGAAAGUUAGUGAGGAUCGAUCGAUCCAAUUAUUGGUGUCUGGGUCAUUGAACUUUAUGUAUGUAUGAAAAGUUGUUAAUGCACCAGUUGCCACAGGUGGGCAUGCAUAAUUGCAGGCAGGGCAAUGAAGUAGAUAAUUAGAUAGACCACAUUUUUGAUGAAACCAUUUCAAAGAUUAGUCGUUUGGUAGUUGGUUUGGAGAAAUAUUAUGCAUGUAUUAGAUGUUGUAUAAGCAAAAUACCACUAGUUCCUUGGGACUACAAUAACCCGCAAAGUGGGGUCUGGGGAGGGUAGAAUAUACACAGUCCAUAUACCACUACCUCAGAUGAAGUAGAAAAGUUGUUUCCGAUAUACCCCCGGCUCAGGACAUAUAGUAGUUCCUUGGGACUAUGUAUAAAAUUAAUACGAGUACUGUGUUUUGAUUUACAAUUGAGAAACCCGCAUAACUAAUAUAUGUAUUGGUUAUGAGGAAA